This 702-nucleotide ribosomal RNA is filed under the name Triticum aestivum (bread wheat). Its description in RNAcentral is "partial small subunit ribosomal RNA". The record is from RNAcentral. Lineage: Eukaryota; Viridiplantae; Streptophyta; Magnoliopsida; Poales; Poaceae.
AUGGGUAAGAAACUCAGGUGCACCUGCACAAUCAACUGGGAUGUGAUCAACUUGCCGUAGAUCGACAGUGAGGAAAUGGAUCUCCCAUUCUCUGAGGAGGAGGCCUGGCAAGCAAUCAAGCAAACGCCAACGGAUUGCGCCCCGGGUCCGGAUGGCUUCUCGGGGAUAUUCUACCAAAGCUGCUAGUCUACUAUCAAACAUGAUCUCCUCGAUGCUCUAAAUCAGUUCUACCACAUGAACUACUCAAACUUAGGGAUCCUGAACUCUGCAAACGUAGUGCUUCUACCCAAGCUUGCCGAGGCCUCCGAAAUCGGACAGUUCAGACCAAUCAGUUUGGUGCACUCUUUUGCAAAGCUCAUUGCUAAGAUCAUGUCCAUCAGACUUGCACCUAAGAUGGCCAACAUCAUAUCUCCUGCCCAGCGUGCCUUCCUCAAAAAUAUAUGCAUCCAUGACAGCUACCUCUUCAUCAGGAACGCCUCCCGCAGUUUCCAUAGAAAGAAGAAGCAGAUGCUGCAGUUUAAGCUGGACAUCACCAAGGCCUUCGACUCGAUCUCGUGGGAAUACCUACUGGAGUUGCUAUUAAAUUUAGGCUUCUCGCUCGGGUGGCGCAACUGGAUCUCCGUUCUCUUGGCCACAUCGUCCUCUGCGGUCCUCCUCAAUGGAAUCCCAUGCCCAAUAAUUGCUUGGGCUGGAGUAGUGUGA